This is a long non-coding RNA of Selaginella moellendorffii, 1478 nucleotides long. RefSeq lists it as uncharacterized. The record is from RefSeq and is a predicted model, not a curated record. Lineage: Eukaryota; Viridiplantae; Streptophyta; Lycopodiopsida; Selaginellales; Selaginellaceae. The transcript is spliced from 6 exons.
CUGCUGCCACGGACAGACCCGCAGAGCUUCUUAAGCGCUACUGAAAGCAAUGAAAGAAUACGGGAGCUUCCAGAUUGGAUACACCAAGGCAAUUUUUGUGAGAGUAGAGUGCAGUGUCAGUACACGGGUCGGAUUGCUUGGAAGGAGCGAGGAGCGCAGAGGAUGGCGACGCGUCAGGCUCCUCGACAUGUCGAGUGCCGCCGCUUCUUCUUGUCCCGUUGUUAUGGAGGACGACGAUCCGCCACCGGAAAUGGGGAUCUCGAGGUAGGCAAAAUUUGCAGACUUUUCCCUGGAUCCCUCUAGAUGUCAGGGUCGAGGACGCUCCAGUUGUAGCUCCCGUUCCUCCUGGUCGAAAAAUUAAGAAGUACCGUAAUCUGAGGAAGAGUCUUGGCCUUUCUCACUGGCGAAUGCGAAAUUUUCGUGCUGUGCACCUAAAUUUUACAUCGGCGUUUUGGAUCCGGACGAGCUUCCCAUACCAACGCGAUCAUCACCCAAGAAGCUGCCGGAGCUACCCACUCUUGAAGUAAAGUCCAGUUUACACGACGAGUGCAACACAAGCGUGGAGAAGAAUUCCAACAGGGACAGUUUGCGGGAGACAUGUUUUUCCGAAAGAUUCGACAGCCGUUCCAAGCCGCUUGACAUAUCGAUCAUGGAAGAGUCUGCUCGAGACACUUCUGUAAGUUUGGAGCUUUAUUUGUAUGCCAAGGCCUAUACCUCUAAGUCCAGUUGUGCUCCUGCAAAAACAGCGAUAGAAUCUGCUAUACAAAAGGACACUCGGGUACGACUUCCCAUUACAUUCACAUAUCCUUUUACAGCUUCGUUCUUGUGAUUUUUUCGAUCAAACUUCCUGUAGCACUUCACACAGACGAGAGAAAGACUAUUCCUCGUCCAUUAAAGCUGCAAAAGGAAUCCAACUUGAGUAACCUCCGUUUCUAGGAGAGUUCAAGAUACACUUCUUCCAGGGCGUCUUGAUCCGUUCACAGCAGAAAGAUCCUCGGCAGUGCGUUUGUCCAGCGACGUGGAGCCGAGCUGCUCGUUGCAAUCCUGCUCAGUAUCCGACGCUCAUGAUGAGAUUUGGACACGGGAUACGUUUCGAGUUUGAAGAAGGAUCAGACAAGUGGUGGAUGCUCUCGAAUUAAGCCGAAGAAUCCAGAGAAAGAUAAAGCAGAACUUAUGCUGGGCAUUCAUGUACAACAUAAUUGGUUUGCCAAUAGCUGCGGGGGCUCUUGUUCCAGCCACCAGAGUGAUGCUCACGCCGUCACUGGCGGGUGCUCUCAUGGGAUUGAGCUCGCUGGGAGUGGUGACUAAUUCGCUCCUGCUUCACUGGGAAUACUUUGUUCACGUGGACAAGCAUCGCAGUAAAGCACCACUCGGAGCGAGCGAUAGCAUUGCCAUUGUUACUUCAUGAUUCGUUCAACUUUCACAUUCUUCACGAACUCAGUGAGUUUUGAGGAAGAAAAACUGCGAUUCUUUACUCA